GGCGUAAAGGGCUCGCAGGCGGUUUCUUAAGUCUGAUGUGAAAGCCCCCGGCUCUACCGGGGAGGGUCAUUGGAAACUGGGGAACUUGAGUGCAGAAGAGGAGAGUGGAAUUCCACGUGUAGCGGUGAAAUGCGUAGAGAUGUGGAGGAACACCAGUGGCGAAGGCGACUCUCUGGUCUGUAACUGACGCUGAGGAGCGAAAGCGUGGGGAGCGAACAGGAUUAGAUACCCUGGUAGUCCACGCCGUAAACGAUGAGUGCUAAGUGUUAGGGGGUUUCCGCCCCUUAGUGCUGCAGCUAACGCAUUAAGCACUCCGCCUGGGGAGUACGGUCGCAAGACUGAAACUCAAAGGAAUUGACGGGGGCCCGCACAAGCGGUGGAGCAUGUGGUUUAAUUCGAAGCAACGCGAAGAACCUUACCAGGUCUUGACAUCCUCUGACAAUCCUAGAGAUAGGACGUCCCCUUCGGGGGCAGAGUGACAGGUGGUGCAUGGUUGUCGUCAGCUCGUGUCGUGAGAUGUUGGGUUAAGUCCCGCAACGAGCGCAACCCUUGAUCUUAGUUGCCAGCAUUCAGUUGGGCACUCUAAGGUGACUGCCGGUGACAAACCGGAGGAAGGUGGGGAUGACGUCAAAUCAUCAUGCCCCUUAUGACCUGGGCUACACACGUGCUACAAUGGACAGAACAAAGGGCAGCGAAACCGCGAGGUUAAGCCAAUCCCACAAAUCUGUUCUCAGUUCGGAUCGCAGUCUGCAACUCGACUGCGUGAAGCUGGAAUCGCUAGUAAUCGCGGAUCAGCAUGCCGC
Molecule: ribosomal RNA, 803 nt
Filed under: Bacillus subtilis
Lineage: Bacteria; Bacillati; Bacillota; Bacilli; Caryophanales; Bacillaceae
Description: bacterial SSU rRNA
Rfam family: Bacterial small subunit ribosomal RNA
Source: RNAcentral